Molecule: ribosomal RNA, 482 nt
Filed under: Russula camarophylla
Lineage: Eukaryota; Fungi; Basidiomycota; Agaricomycetes; Russulales; Russulaceae
Description: eukaryotic LSU rRNA
Rfam family: 5.8S ribosomal RNA (bases 144-297)
Source: RNAcentral
UGCCCUCGCCCUUAUCCACCACACCCUUGUGCAUCGCCGCGUGGUGCCCCUUUCGGCUCGCCCGGAAGGGGCACACGUCCUUUUCACACAAACGCCCCUUUAAAACGGUUUAGAAUGUCUUUGCGGUGACACGCAAUCAAUACAACUUUCAACAAUGGAUCUCUUGGCUCUCGCAUCGAUGAAGAACGCAGCGAAAUGUGAUACGUAAUGUGAAUUGCAGAAUUCAGUGAAUCAUCGAAUCUUUGAACGCACCUUGCGCCCCUUGGCAUUCCGAGGGGCACGCCCGUUUGAGUGUCGUGACAUCAUCAAACCUUCUCGGUCCUCUGGGAUCGGGAAGGCUUUGGACUUUGGAGGCAUUUUGCUGGCUUCCCGUGAAGCCAGCUCCUCUUAAAUGGAUUAGUGGGGUCCCCAUUGUGGCUCCCUUGACGUGAUAAGAUGCUUCUACGUCUCGGGACAGGCUCUGUAACCCGCUUCGAACCGUC